Caretta caretta (loggerhead turtle) is the source of this 1047-nucleotide non-coding RNA. The record is from RefSeq and is a predicted model, not a curated record. NCBI's taxonomy places the organism in Eukaryota, Metazoa, Chordata, Testudines, Cheloniidae.
CCAGACACGGGAGCUCCAGCAGCAGAACACUGAAAGUCACCCAGGAUUACAGAUGACACAACUCCUCACUGCUCCGGAUUGCACCCCAGCGUGUGAAAAUGGCCUAGGCUCCUUGGAUCUUGGGCUCCAUCAUUCCUGAAGUCACCUGGCCUGAUUCUUAUUUCUCACAUUCUGCUUUUCCAGAGGAAAUAGAAUAUGUUACUCCUGAAUUAUAGCGGCUAAUUUCCCAGCAUUCUCCACACCCAGACAUUUUUAUAUUCCCUCCCGUUACACCUGACUCACUAGAUUCCCUAAUGCCGCAGUAUGCGCUUUCCUGACAUCUAGUACUGCUGAGAUCCUGCAUUCAGUGAUCUCCCUGCCCUUCCUGUUCCUUACUGCACAGAACCCCAUCAGCCUAUGCUGACUGUUCCCAGACUCCCCAGGACUCUCUUAUUGUCUCUGGACCUGUCUGUCAGCAAGAAGCGGUUCCUGGGAGACUUGCUCGCUGUCUGGAGUUUUCACUUUCUGAGACAUUCAUUUACCUUCUGUGUGUUUUAGGAGCCUCUUUGAUAAUGAGUGUCUGCGACAUUACCCAGGGUACACUCUGGACUGUCGAAUAGCUGUGUCCCAUCAGUUCUCCAACCUGGGAUACCUUUCACACUGCUUUGCUGUGAGAACAGCCACUCCUGGCCAGUUAACACACAUUGUCCAGCAUGUAACUCGCUCCCAGCUACACAGUACAGAAUGCUACUACUCAGCCACUCGUGAAUUACACCACAGGGGAAUACCGGCACAUUCUCUAGUCCCAGAUUUCCCCCCACAAAUGUGUGUCUUGCACUCUCCAGCACAUUACUAAACGGAACAAGGUCAUAGAAAGUCUGUCACUUCAUCAAUGGAAAAUAACAUGCACCAGGCUUGUUAUCCCAAGUGGCGUUUCUCAUACACUUUAAUCCAAACAAUAAAGUUGUUUUACCUAUUAACUACAGAAGGAAAAGAUUUUAAGUGACUACAGUAAGGAGGCAUAAAAGUCAGAAUUGCUUACAAAAGAAAUAAAAGAUGAAACGCAAA